UAGAUACCCGAUCAGCAGCCCUGACCAACCAGGACAUGUCAGGUGGCAGAGGCGCUAACGCGGGAGGCCACGGGGGGAGCCACGUGGGCGAUCCGUGUGCGCGCGAUCGAACGACUAAGAUCCAUUCUUGCGUGCACGGACGGUCCAGAUUGAAAACAUACACGGACAGCCCAGAUUGAAUCGGGCAUGGAUAAUCUAGAUUGAAUCGCGAGGAACAUCUCAGAUUCACUCCCUAUUUAAUCGCGAUAUGAUGGUUCAGAUCAAAAGGGAUGGACGGUCCAGAUCAAAAGGGAUGGACGGUCCAGAUCAAAAGCGGAUGGGUAUAAAUAAACCCAUCUGCACUCAAACCCUAACCCUAGCUGCCAAAAUCCCUUGCCGAAGAAGAUAGCCCAGCUGCCAGGGAGCCGAC
RNAcentral lists this long non-coding RNA (409 nucleotides) under Carica papaya (papaya). RNAcentral describes it as "long non-coding RNA (CPAP_LNC009357)". Lineage: Eukaryota; Viridiplantae; Streptophyta; Magnoliopsida; Brassicales; Caricaceae. The record is from RNAcentral.